Molecule: small nuclear RNA, 105 nt
Filed under: Castor canadensis (American beaver)
Lineage: Eukaryota; Metazoa; Chordata; Mammalia; Rodentia; Castoridae
Source: RNAcentral
GUGCUCCCUUAGGCAGCACAUAUACUAAAAUUGGAACGACACAGAAGAUUAACAUGGCUCUUGCACAAGGAUGACAUGCAAAUUUGUGAAGUACUCCAUAUUUUA